UUUUUUCUUCACAUUCUGUCUCUCACAGUUGACGUGUACCUCUGGUGCAAAUUACUGACCUCUGUCAUCAUUUUGAGGGGGGAACUUGCACAAUCGGUGGCUGACUAAAUACUUUUUUGCCCCACUGUAUGUCUUGUUCUACCGAGAUGAUCUCCCACAUAGAAAAUUCCAGGAUUUUAAGGAUCAAGUGAAACUGAGAAAUCCACAGAUGAAAAAUAUGAGUGUUGUAUUAUCGUGGAAGACACAGGAGACAGAAGGUCUGACAGAAAGAUUCGGAGAUGGAGGGAAGAAGGAAGAGGCUGGAUACAAUGUCGGACAGAAUGGACUGCUGAUAUCUCUGGGAUUUUCUGCAGUUGGAUUAAUUGUUCUUGUUAUUACUCUUCUGAUGCCUAAAAAACAGGAACAUCAUCCCAGCUUAUCCUAGUGAAGAAGAUGACAACCAGGUUGUCUUGAAGUAAUCACCUGGUAAGCAGCAAUGAAUUCUGCUUGGGUGAACUGGGACAAUUAUUCAGGUCAGUUCAACAUCCCAAGCCUGUGUGUUCUUGUCCUUCCUGCUGCUUAGGACUGUCACGAUAUUCAACAUAUCACAAUGAAGAGAAUUCACUGCAAAUUAAUUAGCAAGAGGCCAAUGAGAGAGUUGUGCUUGUGGACAGUCUUUAAACUGCUAAUAAACUCAGAUUGAAUGAUCCAAAUCAUCCUCAGAUUACAAAGGUUCCGGUGCUCCUGGUGACCAGUCCUGUUUCUAUAUAAUAUAAAAACCAGUAGUUUGGUCUGGUCAACAUGUUUGCACCAAUCACGUGAACCCCGCUCUAGAUCCUGUUCUGUUCUGUACUCAUUACCUAUCUGACACCUCACACCUGUUUCUUAUCUGCAGGUCAACCAGGAGCACUUAGAGAUGAUUCAAAGAAACAGGAAGAAGCUGGACUCAGUGUUUUAUCUGUUGGUUUCCCAAUUCUCCAUAUAUAUGGCGUCGGGUUGCAAAUUGUGAAGCCAACAUGAUAACCGUAUCCAGCCAGUGAUGUGGAGAUACACGUUUUAGAUCCACUUAAAAUCAAAUCACUCAAAAAGAUCCUCUGGAAAAGAGUAGAAUUCUUGAAACAGAGUUUAUUAAACAGAGUCAUAUAAACAGCCAAACAGUUCAUCACAAUACACAGAACAGCAACACAGCAUGUAGCACAGUAGGCAAACCAAAUCCUGUGGGGUGACGUGAGGAGGGCUGUGCACAAGAGACGUCCUCGGAAUCUAAUGUAUUUGGAGUGCUUUUGCAAGGAAGUGUGGACAAAUAUGGCAAACGUAAGAUGUGCCAUGAAAUACUGUGAUUAACUAAAACAUAUUUGUUUCUUUUUCAUCUUUGUUACCAAGGUCUGCACCAAUAAAGUGACCCUAUCUCUCAACUGCCACCUUAAUGUGGUGGAGGGAUUUGUGAACUCAGAUGUUGCUGGGAGCUGAGCUAUCUGGAGGCUUCAGCUCCUGGUAGGUUCUCCUGAGACAAACUGGUCUCAGGUGGUGAACUAGACUAAGAGCAGUUCACAUGAACUGUAUUUACUAUUCACACACUGCUAAACACACUGCUGCUAUUCUUUUGCUCUUGAAUGAAUUGAAAAACAUGCUUCAGGAAAUAAUUGUUUUGAUAAUAGUUCAUCUUUGAUUUAGUAAAAAGAUUAAAGUGAAAAGUGUUU
Astatotilapia calliptera (eastern happy) is the source of this 1679-nucleotide long non-coding RNA. The record is from Ensembl. NCBI's taxonomy places the organism in Eukaryota, Metazoa, Chordata, Actinopteri, Cichliformes, Cichlidae.